Molecule: unclassified non-coding RNA, 2112 nt
Filed under: Hevea brasiliensis (rubber tree)
Lineage: Eukaryota; Viridiplantae; Streptophyta; Magnoliopsida; Malpighiales; Euphorbiaceae
Source: RNAcentral
GUAAAUUUAAGAAAAAGAAAAUCACAGUGCAGAAUCAACUAAUUAAGACAUUGUUGCACACUGGUGCUAGCAUCCAUUGACGGGGAGGGUAGGGAUCAAUCAUGGGUUUAAUUCUAUUUACAGACCAAAAGAAAACCAUCAAGGCCAUUGUCUACCAAAAGUUGAGGACAAAAGACAAAGGACCCAAGAAAGAGCUCAACUGAAAUCAAAAUUAUGCCACUCCUGAAAGCAUCAAUUAUUCUUCUUCUAUCGUUGAAUCUUUAUUUUUCUAAGAUCAGAUUAAACAAAAUAAAUAAUGUCUAACUCAAAUCCACCACUCUCCUGUCAUGAGUAUAUUGAAGGGCCUUACACACCUUGUUCUUCUCAUAAAUUUCAAAAGCAGCCUGCGUCCUACAAAGGAAAAUUAUCUGCCCCAGACGUUCAGCCUGAUUUCUAAAGUCUCCAGCAUGCAGAUAUUAGCAGCAGCUCUUCCAUUUAUUUCCCUUUGAGUUUACAGUAAGCAUACAAACAGGAUCCGAAGAAACCAAGAGUCUGGCCAAUAACAUUCAACACAUCAAAUGGAAGCCCACCAAAAAGUAUCCAGCCAAGUCCAAUAGUAAAAAGAUCCUAUAACAUCUCAUUAAGAUUAAUAAAUAAUGCAUUGGACAAACGCCACAUUUAGGGCAUGAAACAAGGUAAACAUUUGCAUUGGCAGAUUUUUGUAGGCCAAUCAACAUAAACUGCCAGUGACCAUAGAAGGUUGUAAGCAAAAUCAAAAUGGGUUUGUGGCUACAUCCUUCUGGCCCAUUCAAGGGAAAUAAAUUCAAUACAAAUAUAGUUUUCUGGUUGGCAUUUUGACAAACAUAUUGAUCAAACAGUCAAAUUAUAUGUUAAUUGGAAAUGUUCGUUGCUUAACUCAAACAUGGCAAAUGAUAACUCUGGCAUUGCAAUACUGCUAAAAAAAUCCCAAGUAAUUUGUGCUCUAAAAUUUUUGAAAAUAGUUGCCCUUGUUUAGGGUAAUUCGAUUGGUCAUGUGGCAUGACCUUUUACUAGAAUAGCAGACAGUUGAUUAGCAAUUUAGCAAAACUUAGACAUUCAGGACAACAAUUCUGUAGAAAACAAACAACUAUUACAACUUAAAAAUAUUUCAGGUAAACAACACAGAACGAUAAGAUGUCAGGGCCUCUUGAACUUGAGAUGAUUCCAAGCCUACGAUGAGGAAAACACUGCACAUAAUCUGUUGACUUUAUUGGUUAAAUAAAUUCAACUGCACCUAAAUAAAGGCAAAAAUGUUAUGCCAACCAACCAACAUCAGGCUUGACUUGGGCUUCAUCAGCAUGUUUUUGUUAUAUUACAAGGGUAAAAGCAGGCAUUGCUCACCUUCAUAUUACCACAGAUUGUCUGUGUGAGGGCUGAAUUCAGUGUUGUAUUCAAAAAUACAAAAUAAUUUAUUAAGAAAGCCAUGAUACAGGAUAGAAGCAUCACAACCUGCAGAUCAUAUCAGAAUAGCAAUUUAGAUUAGACCAAUCAAAUUUAUCACAGAUUAUUGUAGCAUUCAUGUUCAUAUUCAUUGCUUUGAAUUUGAUAGAUGGUAGUACUAGGAUGCCAAUAUUUUAGCAACGAUUAUUCUGUACGGGCCACAGGUAGAGAGAAUAUUAAUUAAGAACUGCAUUUUCUAUUUUUGUUCAUUACGUUAAAUUAUUUUAACUUGAACUACAGGAAGUUUAGCAUUUAGGUUAUUCGGAGGAACUAAAACAAGCAUUUGACUAGUUUUGAUUGAUAUUCAAGAAGAAAGACUUCAAGCACAAGCAGAUAAUUUCACAACACAAGAGUGAAAACUUUUAUUUUAAAGUGCUGAUGCACCAAGAUGAAGAAUCUCAAAUCUUUUCUAGAGGGGGUUUAAAUUUUUUAUUUUUUGGCACACUGGGUGAACCAAUUAACAGGGGCUGCUCUUGCCCUUCCCAUAGCCCUCCCCACUGCAUAUAAGCAGGAUUUGAUGGACCUUAAGCUUUCUUCAAGGAGAUCUCAAACCUUUACCACUAUGAUGUCCCCUCUGGGACAAAUUUUCAUUAUAUUGAUUGCCCACAAGUUCCCCAAGAUUGAGAUAACUUAAAUAUUAGCAACCACAAGUUU